AGUGAACGCUGGCGGUAGGCCUAACACAUGCAAGUCGAACGGCAGCACAGUAAUAGCUUGCUCGUACGGGUGGCGAGUGGCGGACGGGUGAGGAAUACAUCGGAAUCUACUUUUUCGUGGGGGAUAACGUAGGGAAACUUACGCUAAUACCGCAUACGACCUACGGGUGAAAGCAGGGGAUCUUCGGACCUUGCGCGAUUGAAUGAGCCGAUGUCGGAUUAGCUAGUUGGCGGGGUAAAGGCCCACCAAGGCGACGAUCCGUAGCUGGUAUGAGAGGAUGAUCAGCCACACUGGAACUGAGACACGGUCCAGACUCCUACGGGAGGACGCAGUGGGGAAUAUUGGACAAUGGGCGAAAGCCUGAUCCAGCCAUACCGCGUGGGUAAAGAAGGACUUCGGGUUGUAAAGCCCUUUUGUUGGGAAAGAAAAGCAGCAGGUUAAUACCCCGCUGUUCUGACGGUACCCAAAGAAUAAGCACCGGCUAACUUCGUG
Molecule: ribosomal RNA, 492 nt
Filed under: uncultured bacterium
Lineage: Bacteria
Description: partial 16S ribosomal RNA
Rfam family: Bacterial small subunit ribosomal RNA
Source: RNAcentral